CAGCAGCCGCGGUAAUACGAAGGGUGCAAGCGUUACUCGGAAUUACUGGGCGUAAAGCGUGCGUAGGUGGUGGUUUAAGUCCGUUGUGAAAGCCCUGGGCUCAACCUGGGAAUUGCAGUGGAUACUGGGUCACUAGAGUGUGGUAGAGGAUAGUGGAAUUUCCGGUGUAGCAGUGAAAUGCGUAGAGAUCGGAAGGAACAUCUGUGGCGAAGGCGACUAUCUGGGCCAACACUGACGCUGAGGCACGAAAGCGUGGGGAGCAAACAGGAUUAGAUACCCCCGUAGUCCCUGUCUCUUAUAC
RNAcentral lists this ribosomal RNA (301 nucleotides) under uncultured bacterium. RNAcentral describes it as "partial 16S ribosomal RNA". It matches the Rfam family "Bacterial small subunit ribosomal RNA", at positions 509 to 807 of the family's 1533-position model. The record is from RNAcentral.